This 784-nucleotide ribosomal RNA is filed under the name uncultured organism. RNAcentral's name for it is "bacterial SSU rRNA". It matches the Rfam family "Bacterial small subunit ribosomal RNA", at positions 530 to 1328 of the family's 1533-position model. The record is from RNAcentral.
GGGUGCAAGCGUUAUCCGGAAUUAUUGGGCGUAAAGAGUCCGUAGGCGUUUUGUUAAGUAGAAUAUCAAAGACCAGAGCUCAACUCUGGGCCGGUGUUCUAAACUGGCGAAAUUGAGUUAUGCAGAGGCAAGUGGAAUUCUGUGUGUAGGGGUUAUAUCCGUAGAUAUACAGAGGAACACCAAAAGCGAAAGCAGCUUGCUGGGCAUAUACUGACGCUCAAGGACGAAAGCGUGGGGAGCGAACAGGAUUAGAUACCCUGGUAGUCCACGCCCUAAACGAUGAUUACUCGUUGUCGGAGGCUUCGACCCCUUCGGUGACUAAGCUAACGCUUUAAGUAAUCCGCCUGGGUAGUACGGCCGCAAGGUUAAAACUCAAAGGAAUAGACGGGGACCCACACAAGCGGUGGAGCAUCUGGUUUAAUUCGACAAUAAGCGAAAAACCUCACCAAGAUUUGACAUCCCGAGAAGAUUGCCGAAAGGUGAUUGUGCCGUAAGGAACUCGGUGACAGGUGCUGCAUGGUUGUCGUCAGCUCGUGCCUUGAGGUGUUCGGUUAAGUCCGUAAACGAGCGCAACCCAUGUCUUAAGUUGUAUUUUUCUUAAGAGACUGCCGGCUUCAAGUCGGAGGAAGGUAUGGAUGACGUCAAAUCAGCAUGGCCCUUAUAUCUUGGGCUACACAGGUGCUACAAUGGCCGGUACAAAAGGCUGCGAAGGGGUAACCCUGAGCCAAUCCCUAAAACCGGUCCAAGUUCGGAUUGAGGGCUGAAAUUCGCCCUCAUGAAGCUG